AGAGUUUGAUCCUGGCUCAGAUUGAACGCUGGCGGCAGGCUUAACACAUGCAAGUCGAACGGUAGCAGGAGGAAGCUUGCUUUCUUGCUGACGAGUGGCGGACGGGUGAGUAAUGCUUGGGAAUCUGGCUUAUGGAGGGGGAUAACUACUGGAAACGGUAGCUAAUACCGCGUAAUAUCGAGAGAUUAAAGGGUGGGACUUUCGGGCCACCUGCCAUAAGAUGAGCCCAAGUGGGAUUAGGUAGUUGGUGGGGUAAAGGCCUACCAAGCCUGCGAUCUCUAGCUGGUCUGAGAGGAUGGCCAGCCACACUGGAACUGAGACACGGUCCAGACUCCUACGGGAGGCAGCAGUGGGGAAUAUUGCACAAUGGGGGGAACCCUGAUGCAGCCAUGCCGCGUGAAUGAAGAAGGCCUUCGGGUUGUAAAGUUCUUUCGGUGAUGAGGAAGGUGUUUUGUUUAAUAGACAAGGCAAUUGACGUUAGUCACAGAAAAAGCACCGGCUAACUCCGUGCCAGCAGCCGCGGUAAUACGGAGGGUGCGAGCGUUAAUCGGAAUAACUGGGCGUAAAGGGCACGCAGGCGGAUUGUUAAGUGAGAUGUGAAAGCCCCGAGCUUAACUUGGGAAUUGCAUUUCAGACUGGCAGUCUAGAGUAUUUUAGGGAGGGGUAGAAUUCCACGUGUAGCGGUGAAAUGCGUAGAGAUGUGGAGGAAUACCGAAGGCGAAGGCAGCCCCUUGGGAAUAUACUGACGCUCAUGUGCGAAAGCGUGGGGAGCAAACAGGAUUAGAUACCCUGGUAGUCCACGCUGUAAACGAUGUUGAUUUGGGGAUUGGGCUUUAAGCUUGGUGCCCGUAGCUAACGUGAUAAAUCAACCGCCUGGGGGAGUACGGCCGCAAGGUUAAAACUCAAAGGAAUUGACGG
This 918-nucleotide ribosomal RNA is filed under the name uncultured bacterium. RNAcentral's name for it is "bacterial SSU rRNA". It matches the Rfam family "Bacterial small subunit ribosomal RNA", at positions 8 to 916 of the family's 1533-position model. The record is from RNAcentral.